Molecule: ribosomal RNA, 309 nt
Filed under: Triticum aestivum (bread wheat)
Lineage: Eukaryota; Viridiplantae; Streptophyta; Magnoliopsida; Poales; Poaceae
Description: partial small subunit ribosomal RNA
Source: RNAcentral
AUGCAAAUUAUUGAUUUAGCCUCAAAUAACUUUUCUGGGAAUUUGCAUCCGGAAUGGUUCGAGAAACUAGAAACUAUGAUGUCAAAUUCUACAAGCGAGGGUGAUGUUCUGGCCUUUCAGCGGAUUGGAUCAUCUAAUAAAUUAUACCAAGAUAGUAUGGUCGUCACAUUUAAAGGGAGUGAUCUUACAUUUACCAAGAUCCUAACCACUUUCAAGAUGCUUGAUUUCUCAAACAACGCAUUUGAUGGUCCCAUCCCAGACUCAGUUGGGAAUCUUAUUGCUCUACAUGGUCUGAACAUUUUCACAUAA